Molecule: transfer RNA, 65 nt
Filed under: Vibrio parahaemolyticus
Lineage: Bacteria; Pseudomonadati; Pseudomonadota; Gammaproteobacteria; Vibrionales; Vibrionaceae
Also listed under: 1 other name
Description: tRNA-Met
Rfam family: tRNA
About the family: Transfer RNA (tRNA) molecules are approximately 80 nucleotides in length. Their secondary structure includes four short double-helical elements and three loops (D, anti-codon, and T loops).
Source: RNAcentral
ACGUAGCUCAGCUGGUUAGAGCACAUCACUCAUAAUGAUGGGGUCACAGGUUCGAAUCCCGUCGU